AGUGCGAGCCCUGUGAAAACGAGAACCUCAUCUGUCUCCUUCACCACUGGAACUCCAGCAUCCAGAAUAGUCCCUGGACCUGAUGAGCUGUGUGUCUGUGAUCUGUUGAUGAGGGUGGCGAAGGACUACUCAAUCAACUGGGGUGUACAAAAUGGAGUUUGAGAAGGGCAUGCUGAUGCAAGAGGUGGGCUCCAUGGCCUUGGGCAGAUCUGCUCCUGUGGAUUUUCCUGGUACAGCCCUUCUUCCUGCUGCUUUCAUAGCUGGUGAUGAGUAUCUGUGGCUUUUCCAGGUCUCACAUCUAAGUCGUUUUGAAGCAAAGUCCAAGCAUUGUAUCAUUUCCUCUGCAAAUAUUUUAAUAAGUACCCAAAAGGCCCUUUGUGAUGCAUAUGGAGAUUGGAUGCCCAGAUCCUCUUCAACUAAGGUUUGUUGCCCAGCCAGUGAAAGAGCUGUUCACAGGGGUUUUCUCAGCUAUAUGAGCCACCUUGCUUGA
RNAcentral lists this long non-coding RNA (490 nucleotides) under Callithrix jacchus (white-tufted-ear marmoset). RNAcentral describes it as "lncRNA (ENSCJAG00000063979.2)". The record is from RNAcentral. Lineage: Eukaryota; Metazoa; Chordata; Mammalia; Primates; Cebidae.